UACGAAGGGAGCUAGCGUUGUUCGGAAUCACUGGGCGUAAAGCGCACGUAGGCGGAUGUGUCAGUCAGGGGUGAAAUCCCGGAGCUCAACUUCGGAACUGCCCUUGAUACAGCACAUCUGGAGUCCGGAAGAGGUGGGUGGAAUUCCUAGUGUAGAGGUGGAAUUCGUAGAUAUUAGGAAGAACACCAGUGGCGAAGGCGGCUCACUGGUCCAGUACUGACGCUGAGGUGCGAAAGCGUGGGGAGCAAACAGG
This 253-nucleotide ribosomal RNA is filed under the name uncultured bacterium. RNAcentral's name for it is "partial 16S ribosomal RNA". It matches the Rfam family "Bacterial small subunit ribosomal RNA", at positions 524 to 776 of the family's 1533-position model. The record is from RNAcentral.